CCCUUAGAUGUUCUGGGCCGCACGCGUGCUACACUGAGUGGAUCAGCGGGUCAGGUUGCGCGAAAGUGUUUCCUAAUCUUUAAAUCCGCUCGUGAUGGGGAUUGACGGUUGCAAUUUUCCGUCAUGAACGAGGAAUACCUAGUAAGCGCGGGUCAUCAUCCCGCGCUGAAUACGUCCCUGCCCUUUGUACACACCGCCCGUCGCUCCUACCGAUUGAGUGGUCCGGUGAGGCUUUGGGAUCUGAGCGGAAAGAGCGUUUCGCUGUUUCUGCCCGGAAAACUCAGUCGAACCUUAUCAUUUAGAGGAAGGAGAAGUCGUAACA
RNAcentral lists this ribosomal RNA (322 nucleotides) under uncultured eukaryote. Its description in RNAcentral is "partial 18S ribosomal RNA". It matches the Rfam family "Eukaryotic small subunit ribosomal RNA", at positions 1470 to 1796 of the family's 1831-position model. The record is from RNAcentral.